This 468-nucleotide ribosomal RNA is filed under the name uncultured bacterium. RNAcentral's name for it is "partial 16S ribosomal RNA". It matches the Rfam family "Bacterial small subunit ribosomal RNA", at positions 28 to 507 of the family's 1533-position model. The record is from RNAcentral.
GACGAACGCUGGCGGCGUGCUUAACACAUGCAAGUCGAACGGAAAGGCCCUGCUUGUGUGGGGUGCUCGAGUGGCGAACGGGUGAGUAACACGUGAGUAACCUGACCUAGACUUUGGGAUAACUUCAGGAAACUGGGGCUAAUACCGGAUAGGAGACCCUGCUGCAUGGUGGGGGUUGGAACGUUUCGGCGGUUGGGGAUGGACUCGCGGCUUAUCAGCUUGUUGGUGGGGUAGUGGCUUACCAAGGCUUUGACGGGUAGCCGGCCUGAGAGGGUGACCGGCCACAUUGGGACUGAGAUACGGCCCAGACUCCUACGGGAGGCAGCAGGGGGGAAUAUUGCACAGUGGGCGGAAGCCUGAUGCAGCAACGCCGCGUGCGGGAUGACGGCCUGCGGGUUGUAAACCGCUUUCGCCUGUUACGAAGCGUGAGUGACGGUAAUGGGUAAAGAAGCACCGGCUAACUACGUG